AAGGAGACACUGAAGGGUGCGCGGUGGAUGCCUAGGCUUAUGACAGCGAUGAAGGACGCGACUAAUCUGCGAAAAGCUUCGGGGAGGCGAUAUGUAGCCUUUGAUCCGGAGAUAUCCUAAUGGGGGAACCCUAUCCGUAUGGAUAAUCUUCAUAUACUUAUGAAGAGGCUAACUUGGGGAAGUAAAACAUUUCAGUACCCAAAGGAAUAGAAAACAACUACGAGUUGUUUUCUGUCCGCUUGAUUUAUCGAGCGGGUGGAAAGCAACUCUCGUGAUUCCCUUAGUAGCGGCGAGCGAAACGGGAACAGCCCAAACCGGAUAUUUCGAUAUCCGGGGUUGUAAGACAGAAGCGCCGUAUUUAUACGGCAAGAGUUACAAAAGAUGUAUAUAGCGGAAGCUGCUGGGAAGCAGCGCCCUAGAGGGUAAUGGCCCCGUACGCGAAAUAUACAACUCUCUUGUGCUUCUGCUCUUGAGUAGUUCGAGACACGAAUAGCUCGGAUGAAUCUGCCGGAACUAACCGGUAAGGCUAAAUAUGUCAUAAGACCGAUAGUGAACUAGUACCGUGAGGGAAAGGUGAAAAGAACCCCGAGAGGGGAGUGAAAUAGAACUGAAACCGCGUACUUACAAAGGGUUAGGGUGGGCUCCGGUCCAUCCUAGCGUGCCUAUUGAAGAAUGAGCCUGCGAGUGUAUGUAUGUUGCAUUGGCUAAAUCCGUAAUGGGAUGGAGCCGUAGGGAAACCGAGUGUGAAUAGCGCGUUAGUAGCAUACAUACGACCCGAAGCCAGGUGAGCUUGCCAUGAGCAGGGUGAAGUUAGUCGAAAGACUAAUGGAGGCCCGAACCCGUAGAUCGUACAACGUCUUGGGAUGACUUGUGGUAAGGAGUGAAAAGCUAAUCGAACCUGGUAAUAGCUGGUUCUCUCCGAAACAACUUUUGGGUUGGCGUCGUGUGAUCCCUCUGGGGGUAGAGCACUGGAAGGGAUGAACAGGGAGAAAUCUCGUCAUUCCUAUCAACCUCCGAAUACCAGAGAUUAACAGCACGGCAGUUAGACCAUGGGGGCGAAGCUCCAUCGGUCGAGAAGGGAAGAGCCUAGAUCGCCAGUUAAGGUCCCUAAAUUGACGCUGAGUACAACUUAAGGAAGUGAGGAUUCUUAGACAAUGAGGAUGUUGGCUUAGAAGCAGCCACCAUUUAAAGAAAGCGUAACAGCUCACUCAUCGAGAGUCCUUGCGCCGAAGAUGAUCGGGGUUAAGCGUCAUACCGAAACUGCGGACUUGUACAUGUCUUCGGACAAACAAGUGGUAGGAGAGCGUUCUAAUCUGCAAUGAAGCUAAAGGGGUGACCCAUAGUGGAGCGUUUAGAAGUGAGAAUGCAGGCACAAGUAACCACAAUGCGGGUGAGACCCCCGCACGUCGAAAGAACAAGGUUUCCUCAGCUAUGGUGAUCAACUGAGGGUUAGUCGGGCCUAAGGGGAUGGCGAAAGCCGCACCCGAUGGACACAUGGUUAAUAUUCCAUGACCGGCACAUAUGCGAUGGAGAGACGGAUUGCUGUAUCUACUGCCCAUUAUUGGAUUUGGGUUAUUGCUGUGAGGAGGUGUCUUAGGUAAAUCCGGGACGCAUUAACUCCGAGCAGAGACACAAUAUUCUUCUACGGAGGAAUAGAGAGUAGAGAGCGCGGUUCCAAGAAAAUCUUCUAAGCUUCAGUAUGUGUUCGACCGUACCGCAAACCGACACAGGUGUUCAGGUCGAGUAGACUAAGACGAACGAGUGAGAGGUCCUCAAGGAACUCGGCAAAAAAGCGGCCGUAAGUUAGCGAUAAGGCCUGCCCCUACUUAACUGUAGGGGCCGCAGCGAAAGAUUUUCUGCCAACUGUUUACCAAAAACACAGCUCCCUGCGAACUCGUAAGAGGAUGUAUAGGGGGUGACGCCUGACCAAUGCCGGAAGGUCAAGCAGGGACGGUACAUUGAUUU
RNAcentral lists this ribosomal RNA (1965 nucleotides) under Minisyncoccota bacterium. RNAcentral's name for it is "partial 23S ribosomal RNA". It matches the Rfam family "Bacterial large subunit ribosomal RNA", at positions 1 to 1901 of the family's 2925-position model. Lineage: Bacteria; Bacillati; Minisyncoccota. The record is from RNAcentral.